Peromyscus maniculatus bairdii (prairie deer mouse) is the source of this 211-nucleotide non-coding RNA. Lineage: Eukaryota; Metazoa; Chordata; Mammalia; Rodentia; Cricetidae. The record is from RefSeq and is a predicted model, not a curated record.
CACAGAUAGAACGAGCAAUUCACGAGUUCUUGGCAGCCCAGAAAAAAGAAACUCUGCCAGCCCCACCUCCAGAACCUGAAAGCCAGGAUCCUCCAGCGCCAUCCCAAGACGCUUCCUAAGGAUAUGUCUGAUACCGUUGGAAAACUCCAUUUAAUGAAGAAAUGAAAUGGAUUCCUGUUUCAUACGAAUAUAACUUUAUUCAACUACGUCA